RNAcentral lists this unclassified non-coding RNA (336 nucleotides) under soil metagenome. RNAcentral's name for it is "partial contains 5.8S ribosomal RNA, internal transcribed spacer 2, and large subunit ribosomal RNA". The stretch from base 1 to 120 matches the Rfam family "5.8S ribosomal RNA", at positions 35 to 154 of the family's 154-position model. The record is from RNAcentral.
GAUGAAGAACGUAGCGAAAUGCGAUAAGUAAUGUGAAUUGCAGAAUUCAGUGAAUCAUCGAAUCUUUGAACGCACAUUGCGCCCGCCAGUAUUCUGGCGGGCAUGCCUGUUUGAGCGUCAUUUCAACCAUCAAGCCCCAGGCUUGUGUUGGGGACCUGCGGCUGCCGCAGGCCCUGAAAACCAGUGGCGGGCUCGCUGUCACACCGGGCGUAGUAGAUUUUAUCUCGCUCAGGGCGUGCUGCGGGUUCCGGCCGUUAAAAAGCCUUUUUUACCCAAGGUUGACCUCGGAUCAGGUAGGAAGACCCGCUGAACUUAAGCAUAUCAAUAAGCGGAGGA